GACGAACGCUGGCGGCGUGCUUAACACAUGCAAGUCGAACGGAAAGGCCCUGCUUUUGUGGGGUGCUCGAGUGGCGAACGGGUGAGUAACACGUGAGUAACCUGCCCUUGACUUUGGGAUAACUUCAGGAAACUGGGGCUAAUACCGGAUAGGAGCUCCUGCUGCAUGGUGGGGGUUGGAAAGUUUCGGCGGUUGGGGAUGGACUCGCGGCUUAUCAGCUUGUUGGUGGGGUAGUGGCUUACCAAGGCUUUGACGGGUAGCCGGCCUGAGCGGGUGACCGGCCACAUUGGGACUGAGAUACGGCCCAGACUCCUACGGGAGACAGCAGUGGGGAAUAUUGCACAAUGGGCGGAAGCCUGAUGCAGCAACGCCGCGUGCGGGAUGACGGCCUUCGGGUUGUAAACCGCUUUCGCCUGUGACGAAGCGUGAGUGACGGUAAUGGGUAAAGAAGCACCGGCUAACUACGUG
This 468-nucleotide ribosomal RNA is filed under the name uncultured bacterium. RNAcentral's name for it is "partial 16S ribosomal RNA". It matches the Rfam family "Bacterial small subunit ribosomal RNA", at positions 28 to 507 of the family's 1533-position model. The record is from RNAcentral.